AUACGUAGGGGGCGAGCGUUGUCCGGAAUGAUUGGGCGUAAAGGGCGCGUAGGCGGCCCGGUAAGUCUGGAGUGAAAGUCCUGUUUUUAAGAUGGGAAUUGCUUUGGAUACUGUCGGGCUUGAGUGCAGGAAAGGUAAGUGGAAUUCCCAGUGUAGCGGUGAAAUGCGUAGAGAUUGGGAGGAACACCAGUGGCGAAGGCGGCUUACUGGACUGUAACUGACGCUGAGGCGCGAAAGUGUGGGGAGCAAACAGGAUUAGAUACCCUGGUAGUCCACACUGUAAACGAUGAAUGCUAGGUGUAGGGGGUAUCGACCCCUUCUGUGCCGCAGUCAACACAAUAAGCAUUCCGCCUGGGGAGUACGGCCGCAAGGUUGAAACUCAAAUGAAUUGGCGGGG
Molecule: ribosomal RNA, 397 nt
Filed under: uncultured bacterium
Lineage: Bacteria
Description: partial 16S ribosomal RNA
Rfam family: Bacterial small subunit ribosomal RNA
Source: RNAcentral